This 301-nucleotide ribosomal RNA is filed under the name uncultured bacterium. RNAcentral describes it as "partial 16S ribosomal RNA". It matches the Rfam family "Bacterial small subunit ribosomal RNA", at positions 509 to 808 of the family's 1533-position model. The record is from RNAcentral.
CAGCAGCCGCGGUAAUACGAAGGGUGCAAGCGUUAAUCGGAAUUACUGGGCGUAAAGCGCGCGUAGGUGGUUUGGUAAGAUGGAUGUGAAAUCCCCGGGCUCAACCUGGGAACUGCAUCCAUAACUGCCUGACUAGAGUACGGUAGAGGGUGGUGGAAUUUCCUGUGUAGCGGUGAAAUGCGUAGAUAUAGGAAGGAACACCAGUGGCGAAGGCGACCACCUGGACUGAUACUGACACUGAGGUGCGAAGCGUGGGGAGCAAACAGGAUUAGAUACCCCAGUAGUCCCUGUCUCUUAUACC